CAAUAUAACUCGUUAUUUAUGUUGGUCAACGUCUAUUCAUAAAUCAGGUCCUUCACGUGUGUAUUGUAUUUUUGCCCAGCGAACCAAUAGCAAUGGAUUUGGCAAAAAUACAAUACACACGCGACGGUGAAGGAAUUAGUGGCCAUUUGUUUAAAUGUACAGUAUCCACAGGGGUAGUGUCUGGCUUGGGAAGUUGUACAGAAUUAUCUACAGUAUAUUUUUGCUUCUAAAUUUAAGUUAUUUCGAUUUGUGUUAUACUGCAAUUUCGAUUUGUCAGGUAAUGAAACACGAUCCAGAACUUCCAAUCCUCGCGAAUAUCAACUGGAGGCAAUUUAAAGAUGAUCCAAUAGAACAGAUUAUACAAUGGGACUGGCAACGGAUCGUAGAGGAUAGUAAG
Non-coding RNA from Paramuricea clavata, 397 nucleotides. The record is from the annotation of a GenBank genome assembly. Lineage: Eukaryota; Metazoa; Cnidaria; Anthozoa; Malacalcyonacea; Plexauridae.